Molecule: ribosomal RNA, 459 nt
Filed under: Synalpheus fritzmuelleri
Lineage: Eukaryota; Metazoa; Arthropoda; Malacostraca; Decapoda; Alpheidae
Description: partial 16S ribosomal RNA
Rfam family: Bacterial large subunit ribosomal RNA
Source: RNAcentral
AAGGGCUGCGGUAAUUUGACCGUGCAAAGGUAGCAUAAUCAAUAGUCUCUUAAUUGGAGGCUUGAAUGAAAGGUUUGACGGAAAGAAUACUGUCUCAAUAAUUUAUAUUGAAUUUAACUUUUGUGUGAAAAGGCAUUAAUAAUUUAGAGGGACGAUAAGACCCUAUAAAACUUUACAUAUGUUAUGUUAUCUAUUAGAGUUGAUUAAUAAUUAUAAGAUGACUAAGUUUGUUUUGCUGGGGCGGCAUGAAUAUAAUUUUUAACUGUUUUUAAAAUGAAAUGCUGAUAAGCAGAUUUUGGUCCUUCAUUGAGGAGAUAAGAGUAAGUUACUUUAGGGAUAACAGCAUAAUUUUUCUUGAGAGUUCAUAUCGAAGGAAUUAGUUGUGACCUCGAUGUUGAAUUAAAUUAUCUUCUAGGUGCAGUAGUUUAGGAAGAAGGCCUGUUCGGCCUAUAAAUAUUU